GACUCCCCGAGGGUCCACAUCUAGUGACCUGGUGUCCCCCGGGGCCAGCUCCCUGCACAAGGGCUGCCUCCCUGGCUGGGGACACGUGUGGCCCUGCCCAGCCAAUCACAGCUCCCCAACCCCCAGCCACGGUGACCGGCACAGAGAGGGGCGUAGACCGGGGCGUGACCACACAGGCCUCUUACAGGCCCUUCCGGGUCUUUCUGGGGGGCAGAAGAGGCGCCCGGUGCCUCCUGCCCACCAGACCCCGGGAGCCACCCUGGGGAGGCCCUGGGAGGCCCCGGCCUCCACCCAGGCUGCUGGGCUGCCACGGCAAGAAGGCGGCUCAGCCCGGGAGGAGGACCCGCCAAGCUGCUGGCCGGCCCAGAGGGACCCCGAGCUGCCCCAGCUGCUGGGAGCAGAGGCCCCGAGCUGGGCGACCCAGCGACCUUGAACACUUGAGCCGUGAAAUCAGAGCAGCUGAAGGGAGCGGCAGCUGGCCGGGGAGGGCUGCCCCGUCACGGGGAGGGAGAGGCCUAUUUUUACUCUGAAACCCAGGCUGGGCGGGGGCGCCCCGCAGGCAGCGCCCACCAGGCACGUCCUGCUUGGUUCCAGCUCCACACGGGAAGACACCCAACACCCAGCAAGGCCCGGCCAGCACUGGGCAUCAGCCGAGGACGCACGGAGAGGCCACAGGAAGGCGCGACACCGGGGCAUGGCUGGCUGGGGCUCGGGACAGGAAGAGGGGCCCAGCCAAGGCCGGCCCUGGAGGGAAUGAAGGCUGCUUUCCCUCAACCCCCAACCUGACCUUUGGGAUCAUUCAACUCUUCUCCCUCUUCUUCCGAAGGUCUGAGGAUGGAGGAGAGCUUCGGCUUCACCACAGUAGCUGACCCGCUCUCCCGGCAGCCCUUGGGGUGGAGACACUAUUUUGCUCACUUUAUAGAAGAGGAUACUGAGGGUCAGACUGACCCUCAGUCAUUCUGAGAACAAGAGAUGUGUCUGCUAAUUACUGACAGGGAUGAGGUCAGCCCGGCCCCGGGACCCCAGGCCAGGGCUCUGCCCUCACUGCUCCCCCAACACAACUCUGCUAGGGGGUCCGAGGGGCGGCUGACCCCCCACCAGGGCUGCCCUUCUCCCCUGGGGACCUCAUAAACACCUCUGGCCGGCAGGUGGCUCAUCUGUGGUCCCUCCCAGGCCGAGGGCCUCUCACCCAGGCUGCGGGGCCCUUCCUGGGGGACUGCGGGGACGUCACGGCCUCUCCCCUCUGAGAGCGCAGCCGUCGGGGUGGGGAAGGUCGCGUCCCUGAUCCCCUGACCCACCACAGCGCCUGCCCCUCCCCAGCCUGGGGCUACCACCGCGGGGGCAGUGGGGCCAGGUGGCAGAAGCCACAGCAAGACCACUGGCCGAGAGUGGCCACUCCUGGGCUCAGCCUGGUCCUGGUGACCCGGGAGACUCGGCUGAGGCUUGGUCCAGUGGGUCAGGAUGCCGGCCUCGAGGAGCCUCAGUCCCCGAUAUGAAGUGGGGACACGACUCUCGUCAGGGGGAAAGCCUUCGGGGUCAGUGACGGGCACACGUGGCUCUCCUGCCAGCGGGGGCCACGGUCCCCGAAGCCACCCUCAUCCUCCGCCCGGGGCAGCAGCCCUGGGAGACUGGGGGCAGAGAGCGGAGGUCCCUGCCGGCAGGGCGGGCCUGAGGAGGGGGACAGCCGCAGGAAAGGCCGAGCGGGCAGCUGAGGACAGUCGCCAGGUGCCCCCCCCCACAGUCUCCGCAGGCAGAGGGCCAGGGCCUUGGCAGGACCUCCCGGCUUCCAGAGCCCCGGGCUGUCCUCCUGCACUGAGGGCCAAGCAUUGUCCCUGAUGGCAGGAGGUUCUGGCCGUGGCCAUCACACGGUCACCGUGAGGGGCCGUGGGAACAGACUCCGUCCCUCACUCUCGGGCGUGCCUUCCCAGGGUGGCCUCCAGCUGCCCCCUCCCUGAGCCUGGCUCUGGGCGGAGAGGGGGGUGGACAUGCCCACCGUGUGCCAGGCCCCGGUGUGGGGGUCCUGCAUCCUGGGGAGAGAGUGGUACAGUCCUGUGCGGUCCUGGCCCCCAGAGCUGAGGUCACCAACAAGAGGGCGGGCGGCUCAGGCGGAGUUGCGGGGCUGACGAGCACCCCCCAGGAGGGGCUCCUGACCCAGGCUCGGGGACCUGGGAAGCCCCAGGGAGGUAGGAGGCCGAGGCUGGCCAGGCCGGGAGUUGGCCGGGCUGAGCCAUGAAGGGGAUCAGCGUGUGCAAAGGCCCAGAGGUCGGGGUCCUCGGGACCGGUGAGGGUGGAAGCGCAGGGGCAAGUGGGCAAUGCAGGGCCGAGGAGGGAGGCGGGAGGGGGCUGCUGAGGCCACCGAGCCCUUCCAGGGCAGCACGUGGAGGCGGCACUGUCAAACCAUGGGCCACCUGCUCGUGGGGUGGCGUCACGAUCACCCCUGCGAUGACCGGGAAGUCCCCUGCUGAGACCGACUCUGUGGCCCUGCGCUUGGGCGCCACCAGACCCAUCCAGGCCAGACCUCGGCAAAGGGACCGCAGGCGUGGCCAAGGGUGUCCCAGAAAAGGUGGCCCUGAGGCUGGGCCUGGGGGCCAGAGGGGACUCAGAGUCUCCCAGGGGAGGUCAGCACCGCAGACCUGCAGACCCGGGGGAGUUGUGGGAUAAGCCGCACGCGCCAGCGCACCAGCCUCCCUGUUAGAGAAGGGGGCACAGGCCAACAAGGCAGCCGAGCCUCCCCCCUCAGCCUCCCGCUGCCUCCCGGCUGCGCACCCCCAGGUCUGCUCCACAAAACCCCUGCAAGGGUCCAGAGCCCCUCCGCCAGGGAGGGCACUCGGGUGGGCAGUCGCACCCCAUCUGACCCACCCGCGCUCUUAGCCCGGUGCUUAGGGACCUUCGUAGGGACAAAUCGUGGCAAUGAAGCCAGGGCACGAAGGAGGCGGUGCCCGAGCUCUGGAGAGGCGAGUUCAAAUCCAGUUACUCUUCAGGGUAACUUGGCUCAGUGGUCUAGGUUGCACACUGCACAGUGAGGUCACAUCCAAGGGGACACCAUCCACACGGUGACGUUGCUAUCAUCUAGGAAACCUCUGUGUGGGGGCUCAGGUGAUGGGCUGCUGGCACAUUGAGCAUGUGGGUGUCCCUCGAAGUGCGAGGGGAGAGUCCUGCCUCACGCACGUCAGCCAGAGCUCUGCGCCCAGCCGGGCGGCCGAGGGCCUGCCCUGGGAGUCAGCUCGAGGCCUCGUGCUGAUGGCUGCGGCAGGUCCCGACCUCUGAACCUCUAUUAUUUUGUGUUGACUGUUUAACUUCCACAGAAGGACGCUGUUCCUGGCCCACCGUCCCUGAGACCUGGAGGAGAGCUGGCCUCUGGGAGACUGUCCCUGUGCCCGUCACCUGGGCGGCGUGUGCGGGCAGGCCGGGUGCCUCUGUGACACCCAGUGGAGUCCGUGCCCACUGUCCCUGACCUCAGCUGCUCUGGAAACUCCCUCGGCCAAGCAGCGGGGGCGGGGGGGGGCAGCUCAGUGCCUCGGUUUACCCACCUGAGAAGCAGCGGCCACCCCCAGGACGGCUGGCGGGGGACCCUGUGGUCACCGCUGCUGCUCCUGCCUGGCCUGAAACCUCCCCCCGAGCUUCUCCAAAUUUGGUGCUGCCCGGAGUCUGGACCCCGUUUCCUGCCCCCGCCCCCUCCAUCCUGCUGCAGAAGUGCCGCCAGAGUGGGCCCCCCCAGGCCCCCCAGAACUGCCCGGAGGAA
This 3742-nucleotide long non-coding RNA is filed under the name Marmota monax (woodchuck). Lineage: Eukaryota; Metazoa; Chordata; Mammalia; Rodentia; Sciuridae. The record is from RNAcentral.